CCUACGGGUGACAGCAGUGGGGAAUAUUGCACAAUGGGGGAAACCCUGAUGCAGCGACGCCGCGUGAGCGAUGAAGUAUUUCGGUAUGUAAAGCUCUAUCAACAGGGAAGAAAAUGACGGUGCCUGACUAAGAAGCCCCGGCUAACUACGUGCCAGCAGCCGCGGUAAUACGUAGGGGGCGAGCGUUAACCGGAUUUACUGGGUGUAACGGGAGCGUAGACGGCGGUGCAAGCCAGAUGUGAAAGCCCGGGGCUCAACCCGGGGACUGCAUUUGGAACUGUGCUGCUAGAGUGUCGGAGAGGCAGGCGGAAUUCCUGGUGUAGCGGUGAAAUGCGUAGAGAUUAGGAGGAAUACCAGUGGCGAAGGCGGCCUGCUGGACGAUGACUGACGUUGAGGCGCGAAAGCGUGGGGAGCAAACAGGAUUAGAUACCCGGGUAGUC
This 440-nucleotide ribosomal RNA is filed under the name uncultured bacterium. Its description in RNAcentral is "partial 16S ribosomal RNA". It matches the Rfam family "Bacterial small subunit ribosomal RNA", at positions 338 to 795 of the family's 1533-position model. The record is from RNAcentral.